GGUGACAUGGCCGAGCGGUCUAAGGCGCCAGAAUCAGGUUACAUAUGUAUCCAAUCUGGUCUUUCGGGGCGUGAGUUCGAAUCUCACUGUCAUCA
This 95-nucleotide transfer RNA is filed under the name Hypsizygus marmoreus. It matches the Rfam family "tRNA". From Rfam's summary of the family: Transfer RNA (tRNA) molecules are approximately 80 nucleotides in length. Their secondary structure includes four short double-helical elements and three loops (D, anti-codon, and T loops). The record is from Rfam by way of RNAcentral. Lineage: Eukaryota; Fungi; Basidiomycota; Agaricomycetes; Agaricales; Lyophyllaceae.